UUUUCACGUGCCAAAAUCAUUUCACAGGAGCUUGACUUUCCUGAGUUUAUUUUUUAAUCAAUCCUUUUGCUCGUAAACGUUCCAUUUCGAGAAAUAAACGACUUUGAAGAUCUUGGAGCUCAAAUCCGAACGAAGAUCGAAUUUUGAACAUUUUUUUCGUCAGUAUUUUCUGUGCUAUUACGAAAUACUCUCGGGCUUGAAAAACAGUAAGAGCGAGUGGAAUGAAAAAAAUUCGGUGUUUCUCGAGUCGUAAUGAAUCAGGUGGUAGCGUGAAGGGCGGUCGAUUCUGCGCGUCGUCGUGCACAACGACCGUGACUACUGCGGUGAACUUGGUUGCUUCAACCGGCGAAUAUUCCCUCGGGUGCGAGAUAUUUAUUUUGCAAUUUAUACAGGCAGACACACGUUAACCAAACGCCUCGAUCUUCGUAUUCAUAGUGGGGGAGCUCGAGUGCAGGGAAUUCGUGCAUUCGAAGUCGGUUCGGAAAUUGGUCGGGAUCUUCGCCAGGGUCGCCGAACUCGAGACUCAAAAUGGAUCUGCGUUGGAGCAAGAAGAACGUGAGCUCGAGUCUUCCGAUGGAUUUCUGGGAGCGGAGAGGGGAAAAGAGCAGCGCACACGCGCAGGAAGUGACGGAGUUUUGCGCCCAGAGAAUUUUUACCAUGCUCCUUCGGACACGCUCACGUGUUGCUGUAUGCUUUCCCGGCGAUAGAGUCGCGUGCACGCGCGUGCAAAUCCCAUAUAACAAACGUACACGAGAAAUAUGUAAAUGGGGAAGAAAAGUACGAAGCCUCGGAUAAACUGAUCGUUGAGAGCAACGAAGACUCUUCUCCAGCUCUCUCUCUUUCUCUCUCCCUCUCC
Molecule: long non-coding RNA, 856 nt
Organism: Venturia canescens
Lineage: Eukaryota; Metazoa; Arthropoda; Insecta; Hymenoptera; Ichneumonidae
Exons: 3
Source: RefSeq, a predicted model, not a curated record